This is a microRNA precursor of Gallus gallus (chicken), 107 nucleotides long. NCBI's taxonomy places the organism in Eukaryota, Metazoa, Chordata, Aves, Galliformes, Phasianidae. The record is from Ensembl.
CCACAUAGUGGCUCUCGGACCCUCUUUUCUCUGCCUGAGGGGUACUCUGAGGUACAAGAGUUGCCCCGUAGGCAUGGCAAGGUGGUUCUGAGCAGCACAGCUAGAGG